UACAGAGGUGGCAAGCGUUGUUCGGAAUUACUGGGCGUAAAGCGUGUGUAGGCGGCUCGUUAAGUCUGGUGUGAAAGCCCUGAGCUCAACUCAGGAAUUGCAUCGGAAACUAACAAGCUGGAGUUCGGGAGAGGGUAGUGGAAUUCCUGGUGUAGAGGUGAAAUUCGUAGAUAUCAGGAGGAACACCGGUGGCGAAGGCGGCUACCUGGACCGAUACUGACGCUGAGACACGAAAGCGUGGGGAGCAAACAGG
RNAcentral lists this ribosomal RNA (253 nucleotides) under uncultured bacterium. Its description in RNAcentral is "partial 16S ribosomal RNA". It matches the Rfam family "Bacterial small subunit ribosomal RNA", at positions 524 to 776 of the family's 1533-position model. The record is from RNAcentral.